Molecule: long non-coding RNA, 2841 nt
Organism: Peromyscus californicus insignis
Lineage: Eukaryota; Metazoa; Chordata; Mammalia; Rodentia; Cricetidae
Exons: 3
Source: RefSeq, a predicted model, not a curated record
AUACCUCCUCUACUUCAAACAGUGCCUCUGGGGCUAAUUUCGUCUACUGUGGGGGCUGCUAGCAACCACUUUCAGCAGACUGGCUUACAGAACCAUGUGGUGGGGAGCCAACAUCCUUGGAAACUUCCUGUUCACCUUGGUAAUGUGUGUCCCCCAGAAAACUCUUGACUACCCAAUGCCUUCCUGUGGAAGACUGUUUGCUGACAACAUGUUCCCAAGGACAUUCUAGAUCAGUCUGAAAUUUACACUGUCUGUUCUGACUCAGAUCCCACUACCCUACGAAUUCCCUCCAAGCAGGACGGCCAGCAGCUUAUACCUGAGAGUGUUGACUGCCACCCCUGUCCCGAGACAAGGGGCGUUGGCUAGAAAACCAGAAAUGAAAUAUCUGGGAAAUCAGACAUUGUGCGAAAAACAACAGGUUUUUAGAAUGUUUGAUUUCCUAUUCAACUGUGCACAGCUGCCAUGCAGAAAAUAGGAUGGGUGCCAAGCUCGGGAACUGAUGGAGAGGGUCGGAGAGAGCGCAGACAAAGGAUUGACAGUGCUGGUUGCACGCAGAACAUGUUAACUUGACUUUCAAAACUCAGCCGCUCCGGCCGGUCACCGACGGUUGCAGAGACGCCAUGGGCUGGCAGCUCCAUUUGUCUGUUGAACUGCUGCCUCUCUCUGCUGUUGACUUCUUUGUCUUCAUUAAAGAGAUUUAAGAGACUUCGCCGCCUCCAAGUGCAAGACCGUACUCUGCUCUAACAACCAUUGCUUGCUUUCUUUCCUAUUUUCUCCAUUAGGUAACCAAGUGCCCACAGGUUGACUUCAGUUUUUUUUUCCUUUUUCUUUUUUUUUUCUUUUUUUUUCCUUUUUCUUUUAAUUGAGGUAAAAUUCACAUAAUACAGAACUGGCAUUUUAAGGUGUACAGUUCAGUGCUAUUUGGGACAUUUGUAGUGUGAAGACAUAACCCUGAUCUACUUCUAAGACACUUUCAUGAAUACCCACAGCUACUAGGCGAUCUGUUUGCAUUCCAUCACUCUCCUGGAAAUGACUAUUUUUUCCCUCUGCUUGGAUUUACCUGUUUUGAGCAUUUCCUAGAAAUGAGAUCCUACAAGAGGCAUUUGCCCUAAUCCUGGACACAAUGAUCUGCUGGCUUCAACUCCGAUACCCACCUCAGAGAUGCAGCACUUCCCAUGAUACAGCAAAGACCUGGGUCCUGGGCUUCAUCUGCUGAGGCUCCUUGUGAGCAAAGGUAUAGACUGGUCUCCAAGGAGGAAGCUGUGCACCUAGGAUGAAGCAUGCCCUUGUUUAUGAGUUCCUUGGAGCAGGACAAUGAGCUAAAGCUGCAGAGCAGACACGUGGUGAGUCUUGCACUCAUUAACCCAGAUGGAGGUCACAGCUCCAUGCUGGCAGCUGCUUGGAAACAACAACUUGUCAAAACUUCAGGCUGGAGCGCAGGGUUCCAGCUCAUUGGAACCCAAUUCCUAGAUGAGCCCGGGCAGAAGAGGAAGAUGUGCUUGACUAGCCCCAGAUAGGCCCAGCAGAUGUUGUGCGGGCCUCCUCACUGCUGAGCUCAAGUGCAGCCUGGGCUCAUCACCCAAACAGGGCCCCUGGGAGCACACUGAUGAGGCUCUCACAGUGCCAGGAGCACCUCCAGCGCAUGGCUCUACCCCCUCCCUCUGGGCUGGCCUGGCCUCUUGCCAGUUCCUUUGGAAGGGAGGGGUGGGGACAGGCAGGCAGUCUCACAUGGACGACUCUUGCAAAAGACCCAGCUAUGCUUCUGUAUGAUAUCGCUUUGUCACAACCUCUGGAGACUCCAGUGGGGCUGGAUUGGAGACAAGAUGGAAGUUGGGUGUUUAGGGACAACCAAGGUGCUGCUUCUGUGCUACUCUUCCUCAGGGGAGGGAGGGAGAGCUGAGCUGUGCAAUGCAAACAGGUCUCAGAGCUGCUCUGCCUACUGUAGCUGAGAGAAUUCUCCCAGUCUCCCUCAGGCCAAACAACUGCCUGCCUCAGAACCCAAACACAUUCCAGAAAGAAAUGAGGAGUUUGCGUGCCUGGUUAGUGUGUGUGUGUGUGUGUGUGUGUGUGUGUGUGUGUGUGUGUGUGUGUGGUUGUGUGUGUAUGUACACAAAACUUGGCAUAAUCUCCUGCCAAUGUUCUCUAUGAGUUUGUGUGCAUGCAUACAUUUCCUGUGUGUGUAAAUAGUGAGAGUGUAUGUACACUCUACAAUGUUUGAAUGUGUAUGUCUAGUAAGUGUGUUGGAAAGUCUAUACAGUUCAGUGUUCCAUAUGUAACCAUGGACAAUGAGUGUAGUGUGUGUUUUCUUUAUUCACCUUUAUUCUUAGCACUAUGGGUGUGUGCUGCAUGAAUAUAUGUGUUUGCAUACACAUGGUAAACAUGCAUAUUGCAUAUACAGGUUUACAAAGCUUCUCUCUAUGUGUAUGUGUAUGUUGGCCACAUGGUUAGUGAUGUAUUGUUUCUACAUGUAUGUGUUCAGGCCUCUACCUGUGUACUUGGAUUAUGAAUGUAUGUAUUUAUGACUGUAGGUCCAAAACCUAUCUGUCAUCCUCAUGGUAUGUAAUCAGUGCACAUGUCCCAGGAAUAUGUAGUUUCUGUGUGUGUCCCAGUUGUGCAUCAUCUUGUUGAGUGAAUGGGGGAGAAUCUCAGAAUGAACUAAUGAGUGUGUCUGUGCUGACCAUUUGGGGCAUCCUCAGCCCCAGUUCCUGCAGGUCCUUCCCUAUAACCAUUGUUCCACUUCAUCUGACCCCAUGAAACUGCUUAUAGAUCCCAAAUGAGCCAGUUUGACUCGUGCCUCUGGAUUUUACACAUCAUUCCCUCUACUAGAAUGCCUCUGCCUCA